ACACCUCAACUCUCGUGGCUUGCCAUGAUGAGCUUGGACUUUGGGGGUUUUGUUGGCCUGUGAGCCAGCUCCUCUUAAAUGAAUUAGCUUGCCGGUGUUUGGUGGCGUCACGGGUGUGAUAACUAUCUACGCUUGUGGUUUUCCACCAGGUAACCUUCAGCGAUGGAGGUUCACCGGAGCUUAUAAAUGUCCCUCCCCAGUGAGGACAGAUUUUGACC
RNAcentral lists this unclassified non-coding RNA (218 nucleotides) under uncultured Thelephoraceae. Its description in RNAcentral is "sequence contains ITS2". Lineage: Eukaryota; Fungi; Basidiomycota; Agaricomycetes; Thelephorales; Thelephoraceae. The record is from RNAcentral.